GGAGAAAAGCAGGGGAUCGCAAGACCUUGCGCUUUUGGAGCGGCCGAUGCCUGAUUAGCUUGUUGGUGAGGUAAAAGCUCACCAAGGCUCCGAUCAGUAGCUGGUCUGAGAGGACGACCAGCCACACUGGGACUGAGACACGGCCCAGACUCCUACGGGAGGCAGCAGUGGGGAAUUUUGGACAAUGGGGGCAACCCUGAUCCAGCCAUGCCGCGUGAGUGAAGAAGGCCUUCGGGUUGUAAAGCUCUUUCAGCCGGAACGAAACGGUCACGGUUAAUACCCGUGACUACUGACGGUACCGGAAGAAGAAGCACCGGCUAACUACGUGCCAGCAGCCGCGGUAAUACGUAGGGUGCAAGCGUUAAUCGGAAUUACUGGGCGUAAAGCGUGCGCAGGCGGUUUUGUAAGUCAGAUGUGAAAUCCCCGGGCUUAACCUGGGAACUGCGUUUGAAACUACAAAGCUAG
This 465-nucleotide ribosomal RNA is filed under the name uncultured bacterium. Its description in RNAcentral is "bacterial SSU rRNA". It matches the Rfam family "Bacterial small subunit ribosomal RNA", at positions 198 to 644 of the family's 1533-position model. The record is from RNAcentral.